This 876-nucleotide ribosomal RNA is filed under the name uncultured bacterium. RNAcentral's name for it is "bacterial SSU rRNA". It matches the Rfam family "Bacterial small subunit ribosomal RNA", at positions 62 to 933 of the family's 1533-position model. The record is from RNAcentral.
UCGACGGAGAUAUUCGCUGAUGAAGUACUUCGGUAAUGAAUCUUGGAUAUCUUAGUGGCGGACGGGUGAGUAACGCGUGAGCAACCUGCCUUUCAGAGGGGGAUAACGUUUGGAAACGAACGCUAAUACCGCAUGACAUUAUCUUAUCGCAUGGUAGGAUAAUCAAAGGAGCAAUCCGCUGAAAGAUGGGCUCGCGUCCGAUUAGGUAGUUGGUGGGGUAACGGCCCACCAAGCCGACGAUCGGUAGCCGGACUGAGAGGUUGGACGGCCACAUUGGGACUGAGACACGGCCCAGACUCCUACGGGAGGCAGCAGUAAGGGAUAUUGGUCAAUGGGGGAAACCCUGAACCAGCAACGCCGCGUGAGGGAAAACGGUUUUCGGAUUGUAAACCUCUGUCCUCUGUGAAGAUGAUGACGGUAGCAGAGGAGGAAGCUCCGGCUAACUACGUGCCAGCAGCCGCGGUAAUACGUAGGGAGCGAGCGUUGUCCGGAUUUACUGGGUGUAAAGGGUGCGUAGGCGGCUUGGCAAGUCAGUAGUGAAAUCCAUGGGCUUAACCCAUGAACUGCUAUUGAAACUGUCGAGCUUGAGUGAAGUAGAGGUAGGCGGAAUUCCCGGUGUAGCGGUGAAAUGCGUAGAGAUCGGGAGGAACACCAGUGGCGAAGGCGGCCUACUGGGCUUUAACUGACGCUGAGGCACGAAAGCGUGGGUAGCAAACAGGAUUAGAUACCCUGGUAGUCCACGCUGUAAACGAUGAUUACUAGGUGUGGGUGGACUGACCCCAUCCGUGCCGGAGUUAACACAAUAAGUAAUCCACCUGGGGAGUACGGCCGCAAGGCUGAAACUCAAAGGAAUUGACGGGGGCCCGCACAAGCAGU